UUUUGAUUAUUUUUUUAGGAUUAAUGGUAACUUAAUUGAAAUUCAAACGAAAGUAACUAAGUUAUAAAUUUUAUUAAAUCUCAUUGUUUAAAUUACUUAAUUUUUAAAAUACAGGAAUUAAGUCGUACAUCUUAUCAAAUUUCAAGAAUUAAAUUAUAGGAUAUCCUAAUUUUAAAUAAAUAUUUUGUUAAUAUAUUUAAAAGUGAUAUUUCAACUCGUUAGAUAAUUACGUAUACAGAGAUGAAUUAAAAUGAAAGCAGCAUGAAAAAGGCAUAUAAUUUGGUUACCU
RNAcentral lists this unclassified non-coding RNA (289 nucleotides) under Hevea brasiliensis (rubber tree). The record is from RNAcentral. Lineage: Eukaryota; Viridiplantae; Streptophyta; Magnoliopsida; Malpighiales; Euphorbiaceae.